Molecule: unclassified non-coding RNA, 219 nt
Filed under: soil metagenome
Description: partial contains 5.8S ribosomal RNA, internal transcribed spacer 2, and large subunit ribosomal RNA
Source: RNAcentral
AACAUCGCGCACCUGCGGGAACCUGCGGAAGGAUCAUUACAGAGUUGCAAGACUCCCUAAACCAUUGUGAACCUACCUUCUACCGUUGCUUCGGCGGGCGGGCCCAGCGCCCCCCCCGGCCCCCCGCGGGCGCCCGCCGGAGGAUACCCAAACUCUUGACAUUAGUGGCCUCUCUGAGUAUUCUUUACUGAAUAAGUCAAAACUUUUAACAACGGAUCU